CCUACGGGGGGCUGCAGUGGGGAAUAUUGGACAAUGGGGGCAACCCUGAUCCAGCCAUGCCGCGUGUGUGAAGAAGGCCCUCGGGUUGUAAAGCACUUUCAGUGAGGAAGAACGCCUGGUGGUUAAUACCCAUCAGGAAAGACAUCACUCACAGAAGAAGCACCGGCUAACUCCGUGCCAGCAGCCGCGGUAAUACGGAGGGUGCGAGCGUUAAUCGGAAUUACUGGGCGUAAAGCGCGCGUAGGUGGCUUGAUAAGUCGGUUGUGAAAGCCCCGGGCUCAACCUGGGAACGGCAUCCGGAACUGUCAAGCUAGAGUGCAGGAGAGGAAGGUAGAAUUCCCGGUGUAGCGGUGAAAUGCGUAGAGAUCGGGAGGAAUACCAGUGGCGAAGGCGGCCUUCUGGACUGACACUGACACUGAGGUGCGAAAGCGUGGGUAGCAAACAGGAUUAGAUACCCCAGUAGUC
This 465-nucleotide ribosomal RNA is filed under the name Vreelandella stevensii. RNAcentral's name for it is "partial 16S ribosomal RNA". It matches the Rfam family "Bacterial small subunit ribosomal RNA", at positions 338 to 795 of the family's 1533-position model. Lineage: Bacteria; Pseudomonadati; Pseudomonadota; Gammaproteobacteria; Oceanospirillales; Halomonadaceae. The record is from RNAcentral.